GCUGGACUAGCUCAUCAAGUUAGAGCGUGUGGCUGUUAACCACAAGGUCAGAGGUUCGAAUCCUCUUUCCAGCG
Molecule: transfer RNA, 74 nt
Organism: Selaginella moellendorffii
Lineage: Eukaryota; Viridiplantae; Streptophyta; Lycopodiopsida; Selaginellales; Selaginellaceae
Rfam family: tRNA
About the family: Transfer RNA (tRNA) molecules are approximately 80 nucleotides in length. Their secondary structure includes four short double-helical elements and three loops (D, anti-codon, and T loops).
Source: Rfam